RNAcentral lists this ribosomal RNA (2929 nucleotides) under Escherichia coli. Its description in RNAcentral is "23S ribosomal RNA". It matches the Rfam family "Bacterial large subunit ribosomal RNA". Lineage: Bacteria; Pseudomonadati; Pseudomonadota; Gammaproteobacteria; Enterobacterales; Enterobacteriaceae. The record is from RNAcentral.
GGGUUGUGAGGUUAAGCGACUAAGCGUACACGGUGGAUGCCCUGGCAGUCAGAGGCGAUGAAGGACGUGCUAAUCUGCGAUAAGCGUCGGUAAGGUGAUAUGAACCGUUAUAACCGGCGAUUUCCGAAUGGGGAAACCCAGUGUGUUUCGACACACUAUCAUUAACUGAAUCCAUAGGUUAAUGAGGCGAACCGGGGGAACUGAAACAUCUAAGUACCCCGAGGAAAAGAAAUCAACCGAGAUUCCCCCAGUAGCGGCGAGCGAACGGGGAGGAGCCCAGAGCCUGAAUCAGUGUGUGUGUUAGUGGAAGCGUCUGGAAAGGCGCGCGAUACAGGGUGACAGCCCCGUACACAAAAAUGCACAUGCUGUGAGCUCGAUGAGUAGGGCGGGACACGUGGUAUCCUGUCUGAAUAUGGGGGGACCAUCCUCCAAGGCUAAAUACUCCUGACUGACCGAUAGUGAACCAGUACCGUGAGGGAAAGGCGAAAAGAACCCCGGCGAGGGGAGUGAAAAAGAACCUGAAACCGUGUACGUACAAGCAGUGGGAGCACGCUUAGGCGUGUGACUGCGUACCUUUUGUAUAAUGGGUCAGCGACUUAUAUUCUGUAGCAAGGUUAACCGAAUAGGGGAGCCGAAGGGAAACCGAGUCUUAACUGGGCGUUAAGUUGCAGGGUAUAGACCCGAAACCCGGUGAUCUAGCCAUGGGCAGGUUGAAGGUUGGGUAACACUAACUGGAGGACCGAACCGACUAAUGUUGAAAAAUUAGCGGAUGACUUGUGGCUGGGGGUGAAAGGCCAAUCAAACCGGGAGAUAGCUGGUUCUCCCCGAAAGCUAUUUAGGUAGCGCCUCGUGAAUUCAUCUCCGGGGGUAGAGCACUGUUUCGGCAAGGGGGUCAUCCCGACUUACCAACCCGAUGCAAACUGCGAAUACCGGAGAAUGUUAUCACGGGAGACACACGGCGGGUGCUAACGUCCGUCGUGAAGAGGGAAACAACCCAGACCGCCAGCUAAGGUCCCAAAGUCAUGGUUAAGUGGGAAACGAUGUGGGAAGGCCCAGACAGCCAGGAUGUUGGCUUAGAAGCAGCCAUCAUUUAAAGAAAGCGUAAUAGCUCACUGGUCGAGUCGGCCUGCGCGGAAGAUGUAACGGGGCUAAACCAUGCACCGAAGCUGCGGCAGCGACACUAUGUGUUGUUGGGUAGGGGAGCGUUCUGUAAGCCUGCGAAGGUGUGCUGUGAGGCAUGCUGGAGGUAUCAGAAGUGCGAAUGCUGACAUAAGUAACGAUAAAGCGGGUGAAAAGCCCGCUCGCCGGAAGACCAAGGGUUCCUGUCCAACGUUAAUCGGGGCAGGGUGAGUCGACCCCUAAGGCGAGGCCGAAAGGCGUAGUCGAUGGGAAACAGGUUAAUAUUCCUGUACUUGGUGUUACUGCGAAGGGGGGACGGAGAAGGCUAUGUUGGCCGGGCGACGGUUGUCCCGGUUUAAGCGUGUAGGCUGGUUUUCCAGGCAAAUCCGGAAAAUCAAGGCUGAGGCGUGAUGACGAGGCACUACGGUGCUGAAGCAACAAAUGCCCUGCUUCCAGGAAAAGCCUCUAAGCAUCAGGUAACAUCAAAUCGUACCCCAAACCGACACAGGUGGUCAGGUAGAGAAUACCAAGGCGCUUGAGAGAACUCGGGUGAAGGAACUAGGCAAAAUGGUGCCGUAACUUCGGGAGAAGGCACGCUGAUAUGUAGGUGAAGUCCCUCGCGGAUGGAGCUGAAAUCAGUCGAAGAUACCAGCUGGCUGCAACUGUUUAUUAAAAACACAGCACUGUGCAAACACGAAAGUGGACGUAUACGGUGUGACGCCUGCCCGGUGCCGGAAGGUUAAUUGAUGGGGUCAGCGCAAGCGAAGCUCUUGAUCGAAGCCCCGGUAAACGGCGGCCGUAACUAUAACGGUCCUAAGGUAGCGAAAUUCCUUGUCGGGUAAGUUCCGACCUGCACGAAUGGCGUAAUGAUGGCCAGGCUGUCUCCACCCGAGACUCAGUGAAAUUGAACUCGCUGUGAAGAUGCAGUGUACCCGCGGCAAGACGGAAAGACCCCGUGAACCUUUACUAUAGCUUGACACUGAACAUUGAGCCUUGAUGUGUAGGAUAGGUGGGAGGCUUAGAAGUGUGGACGCCAGUCUGCAUGGAGCCGACCUUGAAAUACCACCCUUUAAUGUUUGAUGUUCUAACGUUGACCCGUGAUCCGGGUUGCGGACAGUGUCUGGUGGGUAGUUUGACUGGGGCGGUCUCCUCCUAAAGAGUAACGGAGGAGCACGAAGGUUGGCUAAUCCUGGUCGGACAUCAGGAGGUUAGUGCAAUGGCAUAAGCCAGCUUGACUGCGAGCGUGACGGCGCGAGCAGGUGCGAAAGCAGGUCAUAGUGAUCCGGUGGUUCUGAAUGGAAGGGCCAUCGCUCAACGGAUAAAAGGUACUCCGGGGAUAACAGGCUGAUACCGCCCAAGAGUUCAUAUCGACGGCGGUGUUUGGCACCUCGAUGUCGGCUCAUCACAUCCUGGGGCUGAAGUAGGUCCCAAGGGUAUGGCUGUUCGCCAUUUAAAGUGGUACGCGAGCUGGGUUUAGAACGUCGUGAGACAGUUCGGUCCCUAUCUGCCGUGGGCGCUGGAGAACUGAGGGGGGCUGCUCCUAGUACGAGAGGACCGGAGUGGACGCAUCACUGGUGUUCGGGUUGUCAUGCCAAUGGCACUGCCCGGUAGCUAAAUGCGGAAGAGAUAAGUGCUGAAAGCAUCUAAGCACGAAACUUGCCCCGAGAUGAGUUCUCCCUGACUCCUUGAGAGUCCUGAAGGAACGUUGAAGACGACGACGUUGAUAGGCCGGGUGUGUAAGCGCAGCGAUGCGUUGAGCUAACCGGUACUAAUGAACCGUGAGGCUUAACCUUACAACGCCGAAGCUGUU